CAUGCAGUCGAGCGGAACGAGUUAUCUGAACCUUCGGGGAACGUUAASGGCGUCGAGCGGCGGACGGGUGAGUAAUGCCUAGGAAAUUGCCCUGAUGUGGGGGAUAACCAUUGGAAACGAUGGCUAAUACCGCAUGAUGCCUACGGGCCAAAGAGGGGGACCUUCGGGCCUCUCGCGUCAGGAUAUGCCUAGGUGGGAUUAGCUAGUUGGUGAGGUAAUGGCUCACCAAGGCGACGAUCCCUAGCUGGUCUGAGAGGAUGAUCAGCCACACUGGAACUGAGACACGGUCCAGACUCCUACGGGAGGCAGCAGUGGGGAAUAUUGCACAAUGGGCGCAAGCCUGAUGCAGCCAUGCCGCGUGUGUGAAGAAGGCCUUCGGGUUGUAAAGCACUUUCAGUCGUGAGGAAGGUGGUGUAGUUAAUAGCUGCAUUACUUGACGUUAGCGACAGAAGAAGCACCGGCUAACUCCGUGCCAGCAGCCGCGGUAAUACGGAGGGUGCGAGCGUUAAUCGGAAUUACUGGGCGUAAAGCGCAUGCAGGUGGUUUGUUAAGUCAGAUGUGAAAGCCCGGGGCUCAACCUCGGAAUAGCAUUUGAAACUGGCAGACUAGAGUACUGUAGAGGGGGGUAGAAUUUCAGGUGUAGCGGUGAAAUGCGUAGAGAUCUGAAGGAAUACCGGUGGCGAAGGCGGCCCCCUGGACAGAUACUGACACUCAGAUGCGAAAGCGUGGGAGCAAACAGGAUUAGA
RNAcentral lists this ribosomal RNA (746 nucleotides) under Vibrio sp. H6F. Its description in RNAcentral is "bacterial SSU rRNA". It matches the Rfam family "Bacterial small subunit ribosomal RNA", at positions 54 to 782 of the family's 1533-position model. Lineage: Bacteria; Pseudomonadati; Pseudomonadota; Gammaproteobacteria; Vibrionales; Vibrionaceae. The record is from RNAcentral.